GACGAACGCUGGCGGCGUGCUUAACACAUGCAAGUCGAACGAUGAAGAAAAGAAUUGAAGCUUCGGCAGAAAUUCAUUUCGGAUUAGUGGCAGACGGGUGAGUAACGCGUGAGCAACCUACCUCUUACAAAGGGAUAGCCUCGGGAAACCGGGAUAAAUACCAUAUAACAUUGCGACGAAGCAUUUCGAUGCAAUCAAAGCUACGGCGGUAAGAGAUGGGCUCGCGUCCCAUUAACCAGAUGGUGAGGUAACGGCUCACCAUAGUAACGAUGGGUAACCGGCCUGAGAGGGUGAACGGUCACACUGGAACUGAGACACGGUCCAGACUCCUACGGGAGGCAGCAGUGGGGAAUAUUGCACAAUGGAGGGAACUCUGAUGCAGCGACGCCGCGUGAGUGAUGAAGGAAUUCGUUUCGUAAAACUCUGUUCUAUGGGAAGAAAAGGACUGUACCAUAGGAGAAAGCUCCGGCUAAAUACGUG
Molecule: ribosomal RNA, 480 nt
Filed under: uncultured bacterium
Lineage: Bacteria
Description: partial 16S ribosomal RNA
Rfam family: Bacterial small subunit ribosomal RNA
Source: RNAcentral